Molecule: small nucleolar RNA, 189 nt
Organism: Myotis lucifugus (little brown bat)
Lineage: Eukaryota; Metazoa; Chordata; Mammalia; Chiroptera; Vespertilionidae
Gene: SNORA73
Rfam family: Small nucleolar RNA SNORA73 family
About the family: U17 (SNORA73A and SNORA73B) also known as E1 belongs to the H/ACA class of small nucleolar RNAs (snoRNAs). Vertebrate U17 is intron-encoded and ranges in length from 200-230 nucleotides, longer than most snoRNAs. It is one of the most abundant snoRNAs in human cells and is essential for the cleavage of pre-rRNA within the 5' external transcribed spacer (ETS).
Source: Ensembl
CCAACGUGGAUACCCCGGGAGGUCACUCUCCCCGGGCUCUGUCCAGGUGGCGUAGGGGACCGUGCUGCCCCGUGAUGUACAGUCCCUUUCCACAACGUUGGAGAGAAAGCCAGGCCUUGAGUCUGCGCCUGCAUAUUCUCAGAGUCCUGUGGACGAUGACUGAGGAGACAAACCAUGCAGGAAACAUCU